RNAcentral lists this ribosomal RNA (466 nucleotides) under uncultured bacterium. RNAcentral describes it as "partial 16S ribosomal RNA". It matches the Rfam family "Bacterial small subunit ribosomal RNA", at positions 29 to 507 of the family's 1533-position model. The record is from RNAcentral.
ACGAACGCUGCGGCGUGCUUAACACAUGCAAGUCGAACGGAAAGGCCCUGCUUUUGUGGGGUGCUCGAGUGGCGAACGGGUGAGUAACACGUGAGUAACCUGCCCUUGACUUUGGGAUAACUUCAGGAAACUGGGGCUAAUACCGGAUAGGAGCUCCUGCUGCAUGGUGGGGGUUGGAAAGUUUCGGCGGUUGGGGAUGGACUCGCGGCUUAUCAGCUUGUUGGUGGGGUAGUGGCUUACCAAGGCUUUGACGGGUAGCCGGCCUGAGAGGGUGACCGGCCACAUUGGGACUGAGAUACGGCCCAGACUCCUACGGGAGGCAGCAGUGGGGAAUAUUGCACAAUGGGCGGAAGCCUGAUGCAGCAACGCCGCGUGCGGGAUGACGGCCUUCGGGUUGUAAACCGCUUUCGCCUGUGACGAAGCGUGAGUGACGGUAAUGGGUAAAGAAGCACCGGCUAACUACGUG